CCUGAUCCAGCCAUGCCGCGUGCAGGAAGAAGGCCUUCUGGGUUGUAAACUGCUUUUGCCAGGGGAUAAAAAUACCUUGCGAGGUAAAUUGAAGGUACCUGGUGAAUAAGCCACGGCUAACUACGUGCCAGCAGCCGCGGUAAUACGUAGGUGGCAAGCGUUGUCCGGAUUUAUUGGGUUUAAAGGGUGCGUAGGCGGCCCUGUAAGUCAGUGCUGAAAUAUCCCAGCUUAACUGGGAGGGUGGCAUUGAUACUGCGGGGCUAGAGUACAGAUGAGGUAGGCGGAAUUGACGGUGUAGCGGUGAAAUGCUUAGAUAUCGUCAAGAACACCUAUAGCGAAGGCAGCUUACUAGGCUGUAACUGACGCUGAGGCACGAAAGUGUGGGGAUCAAACAGGAUUAGAUACCCUGGUAGUCCACACUGUAAACGUUGAUUACUCGCUGUGUGCGAUAUACAGUACGCGGCCAAGCGAAAGCGCUAAGUAAUCCACCUGGGGAGUACGCCGGCAACGGUGAAACUC
This 519-nucleotide ribosomal RNA is filed under the name uncultured Chryseolinea sp. RNAcentral describes it as "bacterial SSU rRNA". It matches the Rfam family "Bacterial small subunit ribosomal RNA", at positions 382 to 902 of the family's 1533-position model. Lineage: Bacteria; Pseudomonadati; Bacteroidota; Cytophagia; Cytophagales; Fulvivirgaceae. The record is from RNAcentral.